Molecule: ribosomal RNA, 373 nt
Filed under: uncultured Glomeromycotina
Lineage: Eukaryota; Fungi; Glomeromycota
Description: LSU rRNA
Source: RNAcentral
UUGAAAGGGAAACGAUUGAAGUCAGUCGUACCAGCGGGAAUCAACCUUUCGAGUGGAGGUUUGGAGUUUUGAAGAGUUUCAAAACCUUUGAGAUUUCAAAAAUUUCGCUCUUUUGGUGUACUUUCUCGUGGGUAGGUUAACAUCGAUUUUGAUCAUCAUAAAAAGACUGGAGGAAUGUAGCUUCGAUCUUGUAUUGAAGUGUUAUAGCCUUUGGUAAAUGUGAUGAUUAGGAUCGAGGAUUGCAACGAAUACCCUUCUGGGCUAGUCACCUACCUUCUGACGGUUACCCUGCUUUCGAUAGCUUGCUAACGAUUGUGGGAUUUAACAGUCUAGAUGUUGGAGUGAUCUUAUAUUCGUUAAGGAUGUUGACGUA